Molecule: ribosomal RNA, 253 nt
Filed under: uncultured bacterium
Lineage: Bacteria
Description: partial 16S ribosomal RNA
Rfam family: Bacterial small subunit ribosomal RNA
Source: RNAcentral
UACGGAGGGUGCAAGCGUUGUCCGGAUUUAUUGGGUUUAAAGGGUGCGUAGGCGGCCGAUUAAGUCUGGGGUGAAAGCCCACUGCUCAACAGUGGAACUGCCCUGGAAACUGGUCGGCUUGAGUACAGACGAGGGUGGCGGAAUGGAUGGUGUAGCGGUGAAAUGCAUAGAUACCAUCCAGAACCCCGAUUGCGAAGGCAGCUGCCUAGACUGUAACUGACGCUGAGGCACGAAAGCGUGGGGAGCGAACAGG